Molecule: ribosomal RNA, 479 nt
Filed under: uncultured bacterium
Lineage: Bacteria
Description: SSU rRNA
Rfam family: Bacterial small subunit ribosomal RNA
Source: RNAcentral
AGGACGAACGCUGGCGGCGUGCUUAACACAUGCAAGUCGAACGGUGAACCAGGGCUUGCCCUGGGAAUCAGUGGCGAACGGGUGAGUAACACGUGAGCAACCUGCCCCUGGCUCUGGGAUAACUCCGGGAAACCGGAGCUAAUACCGGAUACGAGACCGAUUGGCAUCUUUACGGUCUGGAAAGUUUUUCGGCCAGGGAUGGGCUCGCGGCCUAUCAGCUUGUUGGUGGGGUAAUGGCCCACCAAGGCGACGACGGGUAGCCGGCCUGAGAGGGCGACCGGCCACACUGGGACUGAGACACGGCCCAGACUCCUACGGGAGGCAGCAGUGGGGAAUAUUGCGCAAUGGGCGAAAGCCUGACGCAGCGACGCCGCGUGAGGGAUGAAGGCCUUCGGGUUGUAAACCUCUUUCAGCAGGGAAGAAGCGAAAGUGACGGUACCUGCAGAAGAAGCACCGGCUAACUACGUGCCAGCAGCUGC